Molecule: ribosomal RNA, 538 nt
Filed under: uncultured bacterium
Lineage: Bacteria
Description: bacterial SSU rRNA
Rfam family: Bacterial small subunit ribosomal RNA
Source: RNAcentral
ACGCAAUAGAUACCCGGGUAGUCCACGCCCUAAACGAUGUCUACUAGUUGUCGGGUCUUAAUUGACUUGGUAAACGCAGCUAAACGCGUGAAGUAGACCGCCUGGGGAGUACGGUCGCAAGAUUAAAACUCAAAGGAAUUGACGGGGACCCGCACAAGCGGUGGAUGAUGUGGAUUAAUUCGAUGCAACGCGAAAAACCUUACCUACCCUUGACAUGGAUGGAAUCCCUGAGAGAUCGGGGAGUGCUCGAAAGAGAACCAUUACACAGGUGCUGCAUGGCUGUCGUCAGCUCGUGUCGUGAGAUGUUGGGUUAAGUCCCGCAACGAGCGCAACCCUUGUCAUUAGUUGCUACGAAAGGGCACUCUAAUGAGACUGCCGGUGACAAACCGGAGGAAGGUGGGGAUGACGUCAAGUCCUCAUGGCCCUUAUGGGUAGGGCUUCACACGUCAUACAAUGGUACAUACAGAGGGCCGCCAACCCGCGAGGGGUAGCUAAUCCCAGAAAGUGUAUCGUAGUCCGGAUUGUAGUCUGCAACUCG